GGAGGAGUGGGAGAUUUUUAUUACAUACGAGCAGGCAAUUAGCAUCGCAUAAAGAUGGUGUGUUGAAUAGAUGGGGGUUGCAUCUGUUCUUCUUUUCUUUCUCUUUUUGUAAUCUUAGGCUCAUCGUUAAUGAUGAUGAUGUUUUUAUGUGGCUGGAGAGAAGUCAAUCUAAUCUUUUCAUUUGAAAAGAAUGGCUAUAAUGUUUAUGUAAAUUAUGAAAGAAAUUGGGCAUGAUUUUAACUUUCAAUCUUUGUAUGUCAUCAAUAUUCAGGAAAUAUUCGUUUAUGCAAAUCCUGGAGAACAUGGAGUUCCCCGGAGUUAAUCUCAGUGUCCCCAUUGGCAGUUGUUGGUGGGCAAGAGACCUCCCUUCUGUUAAGGGGAAGAAAUCUGACUAAUCCUGGCACCAAGAUCCAUUGCACUUAUAUGGGAGGAUACACAUCAAUGGAUGUCAUUGGGUCAACUUCUCCAGGAGCCAUGUAUGAUGAGAUAAAUGUGAACGGUUUUAAAAUUCAUGGGGCUUCUUCUAGUGUUUUGGGUCGCUGUUUCAUUGAAGUGGAAAAUGGUUUCAAGGGCAACAGUUUUCCAGUAAUAAUAGCCAAUGCUACAAUCUGUAAAGAGCUGAGACUUCUUGAAUCUGAGUUUGAUGAAGGGGCUAAAGACAGUGAUAUCAUUUCAGAAGAACAAGCUCAAUGCUUGGAUCGGCCUAGGUCAAGGGAGGAAGUUCUGCACUUUUUGAAUGAACUUGGAUGGCUAUUCCAACGGAGAAAAGUGUCUUCUAUGUUUAAGCUUCCAGAUUAUUCACUUAGACGGUUCAAGUUUUUACUCAUUUUCUCAGUUGAAAGAGACUAUUGCGUGUUGGUCAAAACAAUUUUGGACAUGCUGGUAGAAAGAAAUUUGGACAUGAGUGGGCUAUCCAAGGAGUCAUUGGAAAUGCUUUCUGAGAUCCAGCUUGUGAACCGAGCUGUCAAAAGGAAGUGCAGGAAAAUGGUGGACUUGCUCAUCCAUUAUUCCAUUAAUGGCAGUGAUGUUUCCUCUAAAAAAUAUAUUUUCCCACCAAAUCUUGCUGGACCUGGUGGUAUCACAUCUCUACAUUUGGCUGCUUGCACUUCAGGUUCUGAGGAGUUAGUUGAUGCUUUGACAAAUGACCCACAGGAGAUUGGGUUGUCCUGUUGGAGUUCUCUUCUGGAUGCAAAUAGUCAGUCUCCAUACGCUUAUGCUGUUAUGACGAAUAACCACUCUUAUAACACGAUGGUGGCUCGUAAACUUGCUGACAAAAGAAAUGGUCAAGUUUCUGUAAUAGUUGGAAAUGAGAUGGGGCAACCAUCGUCUUCAGGGAUGACAUCAAAUUUUCAGCAAGGGCGCGGAUCUUGUGCAAAGUGUGCGGCUGUGGCAGCAAAAUACAACAGAAGGGUUAUGGGUUCUCAGGGCUUGCUUCAGCGUCCCUAUGUUCAUUCAAUGCUCGCCAUUGCAGCUGUAUGUGUUUGUGUGUGUCUGUUCUUGCGAGGUGCCCCAGAUAUUGGCUUAGUUGCUCCCUUCAAAUGGGAAAAUUUGGAUUAUGGCACCAUAUAGUGAUAACAUGAAACUUUUUUGGUGAGAAACAGAAAGGAGUCAAAGAAAUAACCUACUUGGAGCAGACAAAAAGCUUGCAAUCAAAGAUAUUUGUCCAUAUGAUGCAGUUAUUUCUGGAAAGGAAAAUGAGUUAUGCCGUUAGGGCAGGGGGUUCCCUGCCUAUUAGAGAGGAGGAAAUAGGUGCAGCUGCUGGCAUCAAAUGUUGCCUGCAAAUGUUAACAAACCUGAGUAGGCUAUGCCCUUUUAUUGCUGUUUACUGUUUGGGAUCACAAAAUGUCUCUGGAGUCUUGAAGAGAACAGCUGUUGGAUGCAGUAUGAGCUGGGAGAGAGCAGAAAUCUGAAGGACCAUUUUCAUUGAAGUGUAAACCCAGGCAAAGGGAAAUAUUCUAAUUUAUAUAAGCCGUUUCUUCCUUAUUGAUUUCUUCACCACCCCCCACCCACCCCCCGAGAGCUACUAAGUUUGGCGUAUUACUGACAAUGUAUUUGAUUUCUUUACUGUAAAGUUGAUCAUUAGGAUCAGUCACAGAGCUGAAAUAUUUUAUGAGCCAAUAGUGAAAUAUUUGUUAAAUUAUAUUUGAAAUAACAGGCAUGUUCCAUCUAUCAGCGUGGGCUUGGCUUUUCUUCCCUGCUCGUCUCAUUCCUUUUUUGGUCUCAUCACUUGUUAGUGGGUUGAGGUGAGGACCUUCUAGUUUUAAGAUGAUGCUCAGAUAUAAGCUGUGAGGAUUCUCAUCUUUUAAUAAUUUAUUCCAUCUUAUUUUAUGAGAAUUAAACUUUAAAAUCUAAUCUAAUAAAAUCUUUAUUUG
This 2372-nucleotide unclassified non-coding RNA is filed under the name Hevea brasiliensis (rubber tree). Lineage: Eukaryota; Viridiplantae; Streptophyta; Magnoliopsida; Malpighiales; Euphorbiaceae. The record is from RNAcentral.